RNAcentral lists this ribosomal RNA (531 nucleotides) under uncultured bacterium. RNAcentral describes it as "bacterial SSU rRNA". It matches the Rfam family "Bacterial small subunit ribosomal RNA", at positions 8 to 526 of the family's 1533-position model. The record is from RNAcentral.
AGAGUUUGAUCAUGGCUCAGGACGAACGCUGGCGGCGCGCUUAACACAUGCAAGUCGAGCGAGAACCCAGGCUUCGGCCUGGGGGACAGCGGCGAACGGGUGAGUAACACGUGGGUAAUCUGCCCUCGGCAUCGGGAUAGCCCGGGGAAACCCGGAUUAAUACCGAAUGGCCCAUCCGCUCCUCGGAGCGGCUGGAAAAGGUAGCUUCGGCCUCCGGCCGAGGAGGAGCCCGCGGCGGAUUAGCUUGUUGGUGGGGUAACGGCCUACCAAGGCUCCGAUCCGUAGCUGGUCUGAGAGGACGAUCAGCCACACUGGGACUGAGACACGGCCCAGACUCCUACGGGAGGCAGCAGUGGGGAAUCUUGCGCAAUGGGCGAAAGCCUGACGCAGCAACACCGUGUGAGCGACGAAGGCCUUCGGGUCGUAAAGCUCUGUUGUUGGGGACGAAGGGUUAGGGGUUAAUAGCCCCAAGCCUGACGGUACCCUUCGAGGAAGCCCCGGCUAACUACGUGCCAGCAGCGGCGGUAAUAC